RNAcentral lists this unclassified non-coding RNA (263 nucleotides) under plant metagenome. Its description in RNAcentral is "partial contains small subunit ribosomal RNA, internal transcribed spacer 1, and 5.8S ribosomal RNA". The record is from RNAcentral.
GUUCCGUAGGUGAACCUGCGGAAGGAUCAUUAUUGUGUAACCGAGGUGCGAGGGCUGUCGCUGACCCGAAAGGUCGUGCACGCCCGAGUGCCCUCACACACAUCCACCUCACCCCUAUGUGCACCACCGCGUGGGUCCCCCUUUGGCUUGUUCGGAGGGGGGCUUACGUUUUCACACAAACUUUGUAUGCAGUGUAGAAUGUAUUUUUUGUUUUUGCGAUCACGCAAUCAAUACAACUUUCAACAACGGAUCUCUUGGCUCUC